Molecule: non-coding RNA, 408 nt
Organism: Pelobates cultripes (western spadefoot toad)
Lineage: Eukaryota; Metazoa; Chordata; Amphibia; Anura; Pelobatidae
Source: the annotation of a GenBank genome assembly
GAUGAGGUAGCCAACACUGUUUAUAUAUCUUUCCUGGUAAAAUAUUUUAUAAAUAAAUAAAUAAAUAAUAUAUAUAUAUUUUUUUUUAAUUGUGGUAGUCCACAAAAUAUUGGGACAUAUAAAAAAGACAACUCUGUUCUGCAGAGUAGCUGUUGACAUUAUAGUUGCGCAGGCACUUUGUUGACUCUAGAGAACCUCGGGCCAAUCGCACAUCCCCAUGAUGGCGACUUUGCAUUCGGAUGUCAUUCAUAUCAACUUUUGAUGCCAGUUUCUGCGCCUACCAUGGUGACCACGGAUAACGGGGAAUCAGGGCUCCAUUCCAUACAGGGACCCUGAGAAACGGCUACCACAUGCAAGGAAGGCAGCAGGCGCGCAAAUAACCCACUCCCGACAUGGGAAGGUAGUGAC